CAUUUGUUGCUAUGACUAGUGCAGAAUUCUGCACCAUUCUUGGAUGAGUUACUGGUCACAUAAUAUCGAGGGUGUCAGCUUUUUGAGAUGAUCCUAAUUAUCCUAUAGAGUACAGACUGAAGCUAGUAUAUCAAUGGGAAAUAUUCUCUCCGUGGAUUAAUAAGGAUCCACAGAAUACAGAAGUUGGAGGUGAAUUAUUUUCGACGCCAUUGACCUGAAACACCAUCUAGGGGAUCAUACUUAUGUCUCAGUAACUGAUAGUGGUUACUGGCAGAUAGAGCUAGAAGGUCUUGACAUUGCAAACAGUUCAACAGGUCACUGUUCGGCAGAAUACUGCAUCAUGUGAAGAGAUGGCUACAACAAUGUCUACGGCAGAAUCUGUAGCUCUUAAAGGACUACCUCAAUGCAUUGUUACUGUGAUAGCUGAGUUUGCCAGAUUCAGCAAGACUUUGAUAUUAUACUGGAGCCAUGUCCCAUGUUUGCUGAAGCCAUCCUUCAAGUCAGAAUCAGUACCCUGGGGUGCUCCUAAUAAGCUUCUUGGAGCUGAUGGCAGCUGGAUAAGGCACUGUGUCAUGUUCCUGAGUGGCUGACCUCAUGAGAUAAUAAAAUCAACCUUCAGAAGUGACAGAGAUGCCAGCUGCUCCUGUACACCCUUUCCACUCCAAGAUGAACAUUCGAAGAGGGGUACUAGAAGAAGAAUGUGCAGACAUAAUGCAGCACUUCUCCCGACUCAAAAGGAGGAAGGCAAAGGAAAAGGAAAAGGAAAAGGAUAUAUCGUCAUCUGAUGAAUCAGGCCAACGGUUUAGGUUUGCUUGAAAGGUUAAACCUGAUUUAUAUUCUUGUCUGAAGAUAUUGGGAUUAUGUGUGUCUGCUAUAUAAGUUGUCAAAUGUUUUCGGUUUCGCGUGGAAAAUAUCAAAUGUCUGCUAUAUAAGGUAGCUUAUUGAAUGUUUGGCACGGCAGUUAACCUGUCCUAUCACUAUUUAGGUGGUUUGUUUUUGUAAACAUAUGAUGGUUGAUUUAUAUGUGAAAAUCAAAGUUUCUUGGAA
Spinacia oleracea (spinach) is the source of this 1047-nucleotide long non-coding RNA. RefSeq lists it as uncharacterized. The record is from RefSeq and is a predicted model, not a curated record. The transcript is spliced from 6 exons. Lineage: Eukaryota; Viridiplantae; Streptophyta; Magnoliopsida; Caryophyllales; Amaranthaceae.